This 203-nucleotide long non-coding RNA is filed under the name Elaeis guineensis (African oil palm). RNAcentral describes it as "long non-coding RNA (EGUI_LNC057742)". Lineage: Eukaryota; Viridiplantae; Streptophyta; Magnoliopsida; Arecales; Arecaceae. The record is from RNAcentral.
CUACGGGAGCCGGGCCCCAUUACCAACUUCAACUGCUGGUAAGCCUUGUCCUGACUCCUACGGGAGCCGAACUUCGCCUUUGAUUUCAAUUGCAGGAAGGCUCCACCCGGACUCCUACGGGAGCCAGACCCCGUUGCCAACUUCAACUGCUGAUAAGCUCUGUCCGGACUCCUACGGGAGCCGGGCUCCGUCCACAACUUCUG